This 497-nucleotide ribosomal RNA is filed under the name uncultured bacterium. Its description in RNAcentral is "partial 16S ribosomal RNA". It matches the Rfam family "Bacterial small subunit ribosomal RNA", at positions 28 to 507 of the family's 1533-position model. The record is from RNAcentral.
GAUGAACGCUGGCGGCGUGCCUAAUACAUGCAAGUCGAGCGAACAGACGAGGAGCUUGCUCCUCUGACGUUAGCGGCGGACGGGUGAGUAACACGUGGAUAACCUACCUAUAAGACUGGGAUAACUUCGGGAAACCGGAGCUAAUACCGGAUAAUAUAUUGAACCGCAUGGUUCAAUAGUGAAAGACGGUUUUGCUGUCACUUAUAGAUGGAUUCGCGCCGCAUUAGCUAGUUGGUAAGGUAACGGCUUACCAAGGCAACGAUGCGUAGCCGACCUGAGAGGGUUAAUCGUCCCCUUGGAACCGAGGCCCCGUCCCGACUCCUACGGGACGCCGCCGUUGGGAAUCCUUCGCCACUGGGCGAAGCCCUACGGGACCACCUCGCGGGAGGUAAUGAAGUUCUCCGAUUCUAAAAACCCGUUUAUUGGGAAGAACAAAUUUUGAAGUUAACUUUCCCCGUUUGACCGUACCUAAUCAGAAAGCCACGGCUAACUACGUG